RNAcentral lists this long non-coding RNA (568 nucleotides) under Zonotrichia albicollis (white-throated sparrow). Its description in RNAcentral is "lncRNA (ENSZALG00000000952.1)". The record is from RNAcentral. Lineage: Eukaryota; Metazoa; Chordata; Aves; Passeriformes; Passerellidae.
UGGGGUGGGAGGAAUUUAUUUCCAACAGAACCAGAGCAGGAGAAAAAGAGCCCAAAAUCCAACUUUGCCCUCCCCCAAUUCCCGGCGUUCCCUCGGUCCCUCCGGACAUUCAGGGGAGUUUUCCGUGAUUUCUCAACUUUGGGAAGAGUUUUCCAUGGAUUUCUUGGCUAUGGGAAAGAAUUUUCCAAGGAUUUCUCAAUUAUGGGAAGAGUUUUCCAUGGAUUUCUCCAAGAUGAUUCCAUCUCACAGUGAGUUUUCCAUGGAUUUCUCAGCUAUGGGAAGAGUUUUCCAUGGAUUUCUUGGUUAUGGGAAGAGUUUUUCAUGGAUUUCUCAAUUAUGGGAAGAAUUUUCCACGGAUUUCUCAGCUAUGGAAUUUUCCAUGGAUUUCUUGGCUAUGGAAUUUUCCAUGGAUUUCUCCAAGAUGAUUCCAUCUCACAGUGAGCUUUCCAUGGAUUUCUCAACUUUGGGAAGAGUUUUCCAUGGAUUUCUCCAAGGUGAAUCUGUUCCCACAGCGAGUUUUCCAUGGGUUUCUCAGCUAUGGAAUAUUCCACGGAUUUCUUGGUUAUAG